UACAUCAGAAACGCAUGUAAGCGUCGCAAGUCGCGAAGCACCGCCUACUUGCCUGUCAAUCACCCAGAGCGCUAAACAAGCGAUUUAAAAUUUACCGCCAACUUGUGGAGCCUUAACGGAAAAUAACCGUCUGAAUAAAAUAUUUGGAUAAGCAUAAAUAUACAAGCACAAGGCUUCAGCAUGACUGAAAUCAUAUCUGAUGUUCACUUUACAAAGAUAAAAUACAAGGUCAAACAGGUUGGGAACAACAUGAUGGAGAAACGUCUGUGGCAAAGUUGAGAAAAUGAAAUGUGAACUCGACAUCUGAACAGCGUCAGAUCUGAGAAAUGAGAUUUUCCUCUGGCCGUCUGAGAGCAGGUAUCGUUUCUCCUCAGAAAUGAGCAGAUUCCUUUUUGCUGACGCCGGUUUGCAGACAAUAAACUGUGAAAGCCACAGAGAUGAAUCCGAGCGCUUCUCGACCGCUGCGCGUCAGCAUUUAUUCACAUUCCUGGACCGCGUUACGCUCAUUGUCUAAACUUGAAAAUCUCAGUAUGGAAUGAUGUGAGAAAUCAAUCAGAAUCACUUCAAGCCCCAGUCAAAAUGCGCACGGGACUCCUAUUAGAGUUUAAUCAUCAUUUCUUACCUUAAAGGAAUUUCCAGUGUAACCCAGAACUAAAGCGAUCUUAUACAAAUCCACUGUAGGACAUCAGAAUGCUUUGUGAAAGCUGUUCUAUCAACUCCAAGUGUGAUUUAUUUCAACUGUCGAGUAGCAGGACAUGUUUUCAAUACAAUACAACAGAGAUCUGAUAAAGGUACGACAUCCAAUUGGACUCGAAGAUAGGAAAAAUCCUCCAGG
Long non-coding RNA from Labeo rohita (rohu), 835 nucleotides. RefSeq lists it as uncharacterized. The transcript has 3 exons. The record is from RefSeq and is a predicted model, not a curated record. Lineage: Eukaryota; Metazoa; Chordata; Actinopteri; Cypriniformes; Cyprinidae.